GACGAACGCUGGCGGCGUGCUUAACGCAUGCAAGUCGAACGGAAAGGCCCUGCCUUUGUGGGGUGCUCGAGUGGCGAACGGGUGAGUAACACGUGAGUAACCUGCCCUUGACUUUGGGAUAACUUCAGGAAACUGGGGCUAAUACCGGAUAGGAGCUCCUGCUGCAUGGUGGGGGUUGGAAAGUUUCGGCGGUUGGGGAUGGACUCGCGGCUUAUCAGCUUGUUGGUGGGGUAGUGGCUUACCAAGGCUUUGACGGGUAGCCGGCCUGAGAGGGUGACCGGCCACAUUGGGACUGAGAUACGGCCCAGACUCCUACGGGAGGCAGCAGUGGGGAAUAUUGCACAAUGGGCGGAAGCCUGAUGCAGCAACGCCGCGUGCGGGAUGACGGCCUUCGGGUUGUAAACCGCUUUCGCCUGUGACGAAGCGUGAGUGACGGUAAUGGGUAAAGAAGCACCGGCUAACUACGU
RNAcentral lists this ribosomal RNA (467 nucleotides) under uncultured bacterium. RNAcentral describes it as "partial 16S ribosomal RNA". It matches the Rfam family "Bacterial small subunit ribosomal RNA", at positions 28 to 506 of the family's 1533-position model. The record is from RNAcentral.